GUUUAACUCUGAUGUCUCUGUUGAUUUUUUUUUUUUUUUGGUCUGGGUGAUCUUUCCAUUACUGAGUGAAUUGUUGAAUUGUCCACGUUACUAUAAUUUAUUCUUUCUUUCUCUUUAUGUCUAUUAACGUUUGCUUUAUAUAUUUGGGUUCACCAGUGUUGGGUACACUAUAUUUAGAAUUAUUAUAUUCUCUUGCUAAAUGGACUACUUUAGUAGUAUAUGGGGACCACCUUUGUUUCUUUUUACAGUCUUUGACUUGAAGUCUAUUUUAUCUAAUAUAAAUAUAGCUAUUCCUGCUCUUUUGUGUUUCCAUGUGCAUGUAAUAUAUUUUUCCAUGCCUUUAUUUUCAGUCUAUGUGUCUUCAUACAUGAUGUAUUUUUAUAGGCAGCAUAUAGUGAGGGCUUACUUUUUAUCCAUUCUGACAUUCUCCUUGUCUUUUAAGUAGAGAAUAUAGUCCAGAGGAAGGUAAGUAGGUUACUAGUUACUCUCUUGUGACUGGUAGUAAAAGUCCUACAUUAGUGUUUUAAAUGUUUAGAGAUGUUAAAACCUAUAACUAUCAGCAGCAUUCAUAUCCUUUUCCAAAUUCAAACAGUAAGCCCAUCAAAAUAUAACUCCUAGUAAAGAUUUUACUAUUGUCAUGAUGUAUUUUUACUUGUACAUUUCACUAAUUCAUAGCAAUGUGGACCUGAUAGCUGUUGUGAUUUUCGAACUUGUGUACUGAAAGACGGAGCAAAAUGUUAUAAAGGACUGUGCUGCAAAGACUGUCAAAUUUUACAAUCAGGCAUUGAAUGUAGGCCGAAAGCACAUCCUGAAUGUGACAUCGCUGAAAAUUGUAAUGGAAGCUCACCAGAAUGUGGUCCUGACAUAACUUUAAUCAAUGGACUUUCAUGCAAAAAUAAUAAGUUUAUUUGUUAUGAUGGAGACUGCCAUGAUCUCGAUGCACGUUGUGAGAGUGUAUUUGGAAAAGGUUUGUGUAAAUCGUGAAUGUGUAGAAUCAAGGAUAAUUAAGGCUUCAGCACAUGUCUGUUCACAACAGUGUUCUGGACAUGGAGUGUGUGAUUCCAGAAACAAGUGCCAUUGUUCGCCAGGCUAUAAUCCUCCAAACUGCCAAACACGUUCCAAAGGAUUUUCCAUAUUUCCUGAGGAAGAUAUGGGUUCAAUCAUGGAAAGAGCAUCUGGGAAGACUGAAAACACCUGGCUUCUAGGUUUCCUCAUUGCUCUUCCUAUUCUCAUUGUAACAACUGCAAUAGUUUUGGCAAGGAAACAGUUGAAAAAGUGGUUCACCAAGGAAGAGGAAUUCCCAAGUAGCGAAUCCAAAUCACAGGAAAGUACCCAAACACAAAGCAGUAGUAACUAGUGAUUCCUUCAGAAGGCAACGGAUAACAUCGAGAGUCUCGCUAAGAAAUGAAAAUUCUGUCUGUCCUUCCGUGGUCACAGCUGAAAGAAACAAUAAAUUGAGUGUGGAUC
RNAcentral lists this small RNA (1467 nucleotides) under Pongo abelii (Sumatran orangutan). Its description in RNAcentral is "retained intron". Lineage: Eukaryota; Metazoa; Chordata; Mammalia; Primates; Hominidae. The record is from RNAcentral.